AUUGAACGCUGGCGGCAGGCCUAACACAUGCAAGUCGAGCGAGCGGCGGACGGGUGAGUAAUGUAUGGGGACUGCCCGAUAGAGGGGGAUAACUACUGGAAACGGUGGCUAAUACCGCAUACUAUCGGAUAACCCAUAUGGGAUUGGCUAGUAGGUGGGGUAAAGGCUCACCUAGGCGACGAUCUCUAGCUGGUCUGAGAGGAUGAUGAGCAACACUGGGACUGGGAGACGGUCCAGACUCCUACGGAGGCAGCAGUGGGGAGUAUUGCACAAUGGGCGCAAGCCUGAUGCAGCCAUGCCGCGUGUAUGAAGAAGUCAUUAGGGUUGUAAUGUACUUUCAGCGGGUAGGCUUUUCCCGAAGUAGAAGCACCGGCUAACUCCGUGCCAGCAGCCGCGAUAAUUC
This 403-nucleotide ribosomal RNA is filed under the name uncultured bacterium. Its description in RNAcentral is "partial 16S ribosomal RNA". It matches the Rfam family "Bacterial small subunit ribosomal RNA", at positions 30 to 526 of the family's 1533-position model. The record is from RNAcentral.